UCCGCAGGCGGGCAAUUAAGUCAGAGGUGAAAUCCCACAGCUCAACUGUGGAACUGCCUUUGAUACUGGUUGUCUUGAGUUAUAGUGAAGUAGAUAGAAUAUGUAGUGUAGCGGUGAAAUGCAUAGAUAUUACAUAGAAUACCGAUUGCGAAGGCAGUCUACUAACUAUAUACUGACGCUGAUGGACGAAAGCGUGGGGAGCGAACAGGUUUAGAUACCCUGGUAGUCC
RNAcentral lists this ribosomal RNA (229 nucleotides) under uncultured bacterium. RNAcentral describes it as "partial 16S ribosomal RNA". It matches the Rfam family "Bacterial small subunit ribosomal RNA", at positions 568 to 796 of the family's 1533-position model. The record is from RNAcentral.